UUUGGGUGUCAGUCGUGGCACUCUUCAGGGUUACUACCCAGGAGCUGCUGUCAUGGGACAGAGUGCAGGAGCAUUUUUCUUCCUACUCACGCCAUUAUAAGAGGGUGUGUUUGUUAGCUGAGAUAACAGAAUAAAGACUCUGCUCACACCUCUUACCCAUCUGCUGAGAGAUGAGUGCAAUGUUGAAUUUAUUUGAACAAACCAAAGAUUCUUCUGGCACUGACGGUGAGAAAAACCCUGCUGGCUCAGUGAUAAAGUCAUGCAUGCAACAGGAAUGUUUUGGGUUUUUUUUGUUUUUUUUUUUUCUUCCUUAAAAAUAAACUAUAUUGCCGA
Molecule: long non-coding RNA, 333 nt
Filed under: Cyanistes caeruleus (blue tit)
Lineage: Eukaryota; Metazoa; Chordata; Aves; Passeriformes; Paridae
Description: lncRNA (ENSCCEG00000006208.1)
Source: RNAcentral